AAGUCACACGGGCGUGUCAACUCCGAUGAUCCGAACGAUAAAUUUGCUUCCGUAAUUAUUGCACAUAAGUAGUGCAGAUUGACGAAACGAUGGUCAAGAAUCACUACAACUCGACGCUGCGGACGGCAGCGGUGAAUCCCUUCGUGCCCCCAGCUCUGAGCCCCCCCAGCCCCCGGUCCCCUCCCACGCUGGCCGGUUGGCGACGCGUCUCGUCGCGUCACCACCGCACCGGCCGGCGCGGCGGGGUGCGGCGAGCCGCUCGCAAUGUUUUGCUUCGGUAACCUUGCACAGUACUAAAUCGAACUGCACCGGUCGCGGAUCCCCAGUCACACUCAUCUCGAAUUCAUACAUUUUUUUUUGCACUCGUAUUCAUUCGAUUUUUCCCCGAGAGAAAGAACUUUUAAUGAGUGUUUGUGUUCUGGUGAAUGGAUGUUUCGGUGCGCGUUAAGUUGAGUGAAUCCGGCGGGAAAAUGCAGAACUUAGUGCGUCUUACGCUGAUCGCGGCGUGUCUCUGCGCCGCUACCGGCACCCCGCUCCCCGCGCCAGCCCCCGUCGCCAGACGUGCUGACCGCAGUGACCAAAGUGAAGCAUACGCUGCAUCAGAAGAUCACCUAUUCAACGACGAGGGUUUCCCUUUGAGAGCCAGCGCCCGGAUCGGAGAUGCCGGCUCGAACCCUGAUUCAGAGGCGCGAGGCUUCUCAGGGCAUCGUGGGCAAUACAAGGGGUACCGCAGACCCGCCUCGACUGUCCCUGCAGAGCUCCGUGCUGGCGACCAACCUCCUUUCAAUGAUCCAUUCUCUGGUUUCUUCUUCGACAUGCAAGACAUGAUGAAAAUCCUGCGUGAUCAAAUGUCGGUUGUUCUGUCACGAGUUCCACCGAAAUCGAUGAAUGGUAACGAUGACCCGUUGAGUUUCGUCCCCUCCGAUGUGAGAAAUCAGACGACGACCAAAGUAGAUUUCGUGGACGGGCACAAAGUGGUGAUCAACGACACUACGUACUCGAACGGGGACACCAACAGCGGCUCCAUCUUCCACGUCCAGAUCGUGGACCUCCUGCCGCUGGACGAGGACGGGGAAGGUCCCUCCGUUGGGGCUCCGAGCCCCAAGCAACCGGCGGGUCCUCAGCGACCCAACGAGCUGGACUCCAACAACCGUGACGUGGAGGAACUCGAGGACGACGAAGACGACGAGAUCGGCGAGGACAUCGAUGAAGCCCCGAAGAAGGACGUCGCGAAGGAGAAGGGGAAGAAACCGGCAGUGGCUCCCAAGCCCAAGCCUGGAGACAAAGAGCAGGGCACAGGGAGCAAAGGUCCUCGCGCCGAGAGCGGGAAGGGCAAAGAGAAAGAUGUAGAAGAGGUGGAGGUUGUCGCCGAUGGCGUAGAGGAUGAACCAGAGGGCGAGGACAUCCCCGACCUGGAAGAGAGGAACAAGCAACAAGCCGAUUCACUCCUGAAAGCUGAGUCACGUUGGAGAACGAAAUCGACAACCGCAUUGACUCAUAUCAGCCGUAUACUGAUUAUCAGCCUUACUAUAACACAUACCGACCUACAGGUAAUUACUACGAACCCAACAGACGAGCCAGCCAAUUUACAACCAUCAGCCAGGAUUCAAUGCUUAUGGACCUCGAUACUUCACCAGCAGACCAGUUUACAACACAAAUUCGCCCAACUAUAA
Molecule: long non-coding RNA, 1673 nt
Filed under: Bemisia tabaci
Lineage: Eukaryota; Metazoa; Arthropoda; Insecta; Hemiptera; Aleyrodidae
Description: lncRNA ENSSSA3NGG006987
Source: RNAcentral